CCCGGUUUGCAGAUCAUACCCGAGUUCCUGCUGCUGAAAUGGGUAGCACUGAAGCCCCAACGCCCGUGCAGGCACCUGUGUACUCCAUUGUGAACGAAGGCCCAGCAGCUCCAGCUGCCUGCUCCAUUGUGAACGAAGCCCCAGCUCCCUGGGCCUGACCUGUGGCAAAUGGCAAGCUGCUUGUCACCUGAACAAAGGGAGAAAAGGAAGAGGGAUGGAGAUGAUGAUGCCAUGGAUAAAAUGGAAAUGGCGAGAGUUCUUCAUGCAGCAAGAAACCAAGCGCACCUGUACACACGACUGUGAGGAUCCCGAUGGACACUUAGAGAGAGAGAGAAGGAAGAUGGCGGACGAGCGCUUCUCCACCAUCAUCAUCGGCGUACUUACCUGCCUCUGCACCACCAUCUUCGU
Molecule: long non-coding RNA, 408 nt
Organism: Triticum dicoccoides
Lineage: Eukaryota; Viridiplantae; Streptophyta; Magnoliopsida; Poales; Poaceae
Exons: 3
Source: RefSeq, a predicted model, not a curated record